Molecule: ribosomal RNA, 497 nt
Filed under: uncultured bacterium
Lineage: Bacteria
Description: partial 16S ribosomal RNA
Rfam family: Bacterial small subunit ribosomal RNA
Source: RNAcentral
GAUGAACGCUGGCGGCGUGCCUAAUACAUGCAAGUCGAGCGAACAGACGAGGAGCUUGCUCCUCUGACGUUAGCGGCGGACGGGUGAGUAACACGUGGAUAACCUACCUAUAAGACUGGGAUAACUUCGGGAAACCGGAGCUAAUACCGGAUAAUAUAUUGAACCGCAUGGUUCAAUAGUGAAAGACGGUUUUGCUGUCACUUAUAGAUGGAUCCGCGCCGCAUUAGCUAGUUGGUAAGGUAACGGCUUACCAAGGCAACGAUGCGUAGCCGACCUGAGAGGGUGAUCGGCCACACUGGAACUGAGACACGGUCCAGACUCCUACGGGAGGCAGCAGUAGGGAAUCUUCCGCAAUGGGCGAAAGCCUGACGGAGCAACGCCGCGUGAGUGAUGAAGGUCUUCGGACCGUAAAACUCUGUUAUUAGGGAAGAAAAAAUGUGUAAGUAACUAUGCACGUCUUGACGGUACCUAAUCAGAAAGCCACGGCUAACUACGUG